CUUAACUAGCCCCCACAACUUCCUGUCACUUGCUCCAAACUAAAACACUACAAGAUUCACCAAUGUGUGUGAUUCUCAGCUCUUCACCUUCUCUUAGCAAUUUUCCCUUGCUUUGGUAAUGAUGAGACACCAACAAUAAAUAUUUGCAGAGGAAGUUCAGAUUCAAAAAUUCAUCUUUCUCUGAUGAAGUAAGGUAAAGGUACCACUGCCAACUGACUGAAAAUUUUGAAAAAAGACAAAGUCUGGGGCAAUUUGACAGCCCAUAAAUGAAUCAUCUUCUACAUAGUUUUAAAAAACUAUAACUAAAACUAUAGUCUUAAAAAAACUAACUAUAACUAAAAGGUCUUUUACUGGGAUUGGAAUUUUGUGCAUCUAUUUGGCUGGACAUAGUAUGGACAUUGGGCCUUCUAAACCAAGGUUUCAUGGAAAGAAUUAACCCCUAAUUCCUUAGGCAUCUCUUGUAUGUAAUAAAUUACCUAGUAUCGUUCAAGAAAUAGGUAUAGAGAAAAGUCAGGUGCCCUCCAGAAGAGUCCCUCAAAUCAUUUUCUAUGUUCUGUGAUUUCAGACGAGAAACCCCAGCUGAGGAGGCAAAUACACUCAAGGAAAGUAAUAGUUUCCAAAUGCCUGGCAGUGCCAGGAAGGGGCCAUGUCCGUGGACCACUAUGUAAGGAUAUCUCAGUCUCUAGUCAAGCAUGGUUUAUGGUGCCAAAUAAGUGCCAGGUGAACUCACUACAUCUGACAAAAUCUCAAGGAACCAAGUUUACCAGAUAAUAUUUAUGAUUAUGUGAAAAAGACUGAGGAAAUCACUCUAGUGAUCCAUCAUACAGCACCUCCAGUUCCAAAGAAUACUGACUUACUUCAGCUGUACUGGUCUGGAGCUGCACAUUCUUUUCAGACAACUCUUGUUCCAGUGACUCUUCUCCUGUAACAGAGCCUCCUUCUUAGAAACUAUGGCCUCCCGUUUCUUUAAGUCUUCUUCCAGCUCCUCUAAUUCUUGGCGUUGGUUCAGAACUUUCUCUACUUCUUCAUCUAACCAUUUCUUUUGCUCAUCCAAUUUCUACAUUAAAAUUUAAAAAAAAGUUACUUGUUUUUCCUUCUGCCAUAAAAAUUAUAUGGUAAUAAUAGAAUUUCAGAUUGGCUGAAAUCUCUUAAAUGAACAUUUAAAAACUAUCACUCAGAGUAACUCAGGUAGCCGUCUGAGAUCCUAAAGACAUCAGUGGUUCUAGUCAAGAUGUAGUUAUGUUGUUUUAUAAAGAGUUAAAAUUUACUCCCCAGAUAUGUUAAACAGUCUAGGAUUUUUUAGCCUGACAAAGAAAGGGCUGAUAAUUUUCUAUGCCUAUAUUAAGAACAUGCUGGAGUCUUUUACUCUGUUGUAGUGGUGCACAGUUCCAUCACAGCACUUACACUGGUGGCUGCCCUACUUAUCUAUCUCCCCG
Molecule: non-coding RNA, 1436 nt
Filed under: Pongo abelii (Sumatran orangutan)
Lineage: Eukaryota; Metazoa; Chordata; Mammalia; Primates; Hominidae
Source: RNAcentral